AUUGAACGCUGGCGGCAGGCCUAACACAUGCAAGUCGAACGAGUGGCGGACGGGUGAGUAAUGUCUGGGAAACUGCCUGAUGGAGGGGGAUAACUACUGGCAACGGUAGCUAAUACCGCAUACCAUCAGCUGGUCCCAGAUGGGAUUAGCUAGGUGGUGGUGUAACGGCUCACCAAGGCGACGAUCCCUAGCUGGUCUGAGAGGAGGACCAGCCACACUGGAACGGAGACCCGGUCCAGACUCCUACGUGAGGCAGCAGGGGGGAAGAUUGCACAAUGGGCGCAAGCCUGAUGCAGCCAUGCCGCGUGUAUGAAGAAGGCCUUCGGGGUGUAAAGUACUUUCAGCGGGGAGGCGUUACCCGAAGAAGAAGCACCGGCUAACUCCGUGCCAGCAGCCGCGGUAAUAC
Molecule: ribosomal RNA, 406 nt
Filed under: uncultured bacterium
Lineage: Bacteria
Description: partial 16S ribosomal RNA
Rfam family: Bacterial small subunit ribosomal RNA
Source: RNAcentral